UACGUAGGGGGCAAGCGUUGUCCGGAUUUAUUGGGCGUAAAGAGCGUGUAGGCGGCCUGACAGGUCUGCUGUGAAAACUCGAGGCUCAACCUCGAGAUGUCGGCGGAAACCGUCUGGCUAGAGUCCGGAAGAGGAGAGUGGAAUUCCUGGUGUAGCGGUGAAAUGCGCAGAUAUCAGGAAGAACACCUAUGGCGAAGGCAGCUCUCUGGGACGGUACUGACGCUGAGACGCGAAAGCGUGGGAGCGAACAGG
This 252-nucleotide ribosomal RNA is filed under the name uncultured bacterium. RNAcentral describes it as "partial 16S ribosomal RNA". It matches the Rfam family "Bacterial small subunit ribosomal RNA", at positions 524 to 776 of the family's 1533-position model. The record is from RNAcentral.